AUGCCAAACAGAGGCCAGUGGUUGAGGAGAGGAAGUAGGAGACACUGAGAGGUGCUGGAAGAGCGAACCAGGGAAGCAGAGGGCAGAGAACCAGCAUAACCUCAUGAUCUUACCCAGCAAUGGAAUCCACCAUGGGAGCCCCGUUCCUUCUGAGGACCGUCUUCACUCUCUCAGUUAGCUUAUACUACCUGAGUGCUUCCUGUGAGGAGCAGCCUUGGCACCUCCUCCUCCUCCUCCUCCUUCCUUUCUACCUCCCAGGCGGGGCAACCUGGGCCUCACACCUCUCCCUCUGCUGUGUCUAAGGAUGGAUUCCACCAAGAUAGAAACGACCGUGCUGGCACAUAGCAAGUCCUCUGCAGCCAUCAGGAAAGCAGAGGAAUGAGCGGUCAGUCCUCUCUCGUGAACUGAGGGCCAGACAUUGAGCAAUGGGACGUGGAGAGGGUCAGGGCUCCCUGAUCUCUGGCGGAGUCCAGGCAAGGGCUUCUGUGCCCAUCCUCAGAACCGCCUGGCAAGCGGGAAGGCGCCCAGGGGUCCUCAGACAUCAUAGCUCAUUGCUCUGUUCCCAUAAAAUCACUUAAGUGGCAA
Molecule: long non-coding RNA, 585 nt
Organism: Rattus norvegicus (Norway rat)
Lineage: Eukaryota; Metazoa; Chordata; Mammalia; Rodentia; Muridae
Source: RefSeq, a predicted model, not a curated record